CUCGGGAGGGCAUCGCGCGGAGG
This 23-nucleotide microRNA is filed under the name Gallus gallus (chicken). RNAcentral's name for it is "gga-miR-12263-3p". Lineage: Eukaryota; Metazoa; Chordata; Aves; Galliformes; Phasianidae. The record is from miRBase by way of RNAcentral.